UGGGGUGGUAGUUCAGCUGGUUAGAACGCCUGCCUGUCACGCAGGAGGUCGACGGUUCGAGUCCGUUCCAUCCCGA
Molecule: transfer RNA, 76 nt
Filed under: candidate division SR1 bacterium
Lineage: Bacteria; Candidatus Absconditibacteriota
Description: tRNA-Asp
Rfam family: tRNA
About the family: Transfer RNA (tRNA) molecules are approximately 80 nucleotides in length. Their secondary structure includes four short double-helical elements and three loops (D, anti-codon, and T loops). Further hydrogen bonds mediate the characteristic L-shaped molecular structure. tRNAs have two regions of fundamental functional importance: the anti-codon, which is responsible for specific mRNA codon recognition, and the 3' end, to which the tRNAs corresponding amino acid is attached (by aminoacyl-tRNA synthetases). tRNAs cope with the degeneracy of the genetic code in two manners: having more than one tRNA (with a specific anti-codon) for a particular amino acid; and 'wobble' base-pairing, i.e. permitting non-standard base-pairing at the 3rd anti-codon position.
Source: RNAcentral